Molecule: ribosomal RNA, 483 nt
Filed under: uncultured bacterium
Lineage: Bacteria
Description: partial 16S ribosomal RNA
Rfam family: Bacterial small subunit ribosomal RNA
Source: RNAcentral
GACGAACGCUGGCGGCGUGCUUAACACAUGCAAGUCGAACGAUGAAGCCGGAGCUUGCUCCGGUGGAUUAGUGGCGAACGGGUGAGUAACACGUGAGCAAUCUGCCCUUGACUCUGGGAUAACUGCGGGAAACUGUAGCUAAUACCGGAUACGACACCUUGGGGCAUCCCAGGGUGUGGAAAGAAUUUCGGUCAAGGAUGAGCUCGCGGCCUAUCAGCUAGUUGGUGAGGUAAUGGAUCACCAAGGCGACGACGGGUAGCCGGCCUGAGAGGGUGACCGGCCACACUGGAACUGAGACACGGUCCAGACUCCUACGGGAGGCAGCAGUGGGGAAUAUUGCACAAUGGGCGGAAGCCUGAUGCAGCAACGCCGCGUGAGGGAUGAAGGCCUUCGGGUUGUAAACCUCUUUUAGCAGGGAAGAGGCGAAAGUGACGGUACCUGCAGAAAAAGCACCGGCUAACUACGUGCCAGCAGCCGCCGUAA